GACGAACGCUGGCGGCGUGCUUAACACAUGCAAGUCGAACGGAAAGGCCCUGCUUUUGUGGGGUGCUCGAGUGGCGAACGGGUGAGUAACACGUGAGUAACCUGCCCUUGACUUUGGGAUAACUUCAGGAAACUGGGGCUAAUACCGUAUAGGAUCUCCUGCUGCAUGGUGGGGGUUGGAAAGUUUCGGCGGUUGGGGAUGGACUCGCGGCUUAUCAGCUUGUUGGUGGGGUAGUGGCUUACCAAGGCUUUGACGGGUAGCCGGCCUGAGAGGGUGACCGGGGACAAUGGGACUGAGAGACGGAGCAGUGGGGAACGUGGGGCAGCAGUGGGGAAUAUUGCACAAUGGGCGGGAGCCGGAUACAGCGACGCUGCGUGCGGGAUGACGGUCUGCGGGUAGUAAACCGCUUUAGCCUGAGACGCAGCGGGAGUGACGGUAAUGGGUAAAGAAGCACCGGCUAACUACGUG
RNAcentral lists this ribosomal RNA (468 nucleotides) under uncultured bacterium. RNAcentral's name for it is "partial 16S ribosomal RNA". It matches the Rfam family "Bacterial small subunit ribosomal RNA", at positions 28 to 507 of the family's 1533-position model. The record is from RNAcentral.